Long non-coding RNA from Carya illinoinensis, 616 nucleotides. RefSeq lists it as uncharacterized. NCBI's taxonomy places the organism in Eukaryota, Viridiplantae, Streptophyta, Magnoliopsida, Fagales, Juglandaceae. The transcript is spliced from 2 exons. The record is from RefSeq and is a predicted model, not a curated record.
GUUCUCCGCAAUAUUAAAAAACAACCUCCUUUUAUUUCCUACCGCGCGGCCUCAAUGAAGGUCAUGAACCCGUCCGCUCCCACGAACCCCUCCCUCUUAUCUUCUCUCUCGCGCUCCCUCUCGCACGGCGGCCACUUCCCUGCAGUGGGACUAUCAACUCAUUGUUGUCGUGGAAUUGGGUCCUCAAAUCUGUAUCAACUUUAAUUGGCGAGCCCAGAGGCUGAAAUUGCAUUAUAUACCCUAUGUUGCUGUUGGGUCCGUAUCCCGUUAAAUGUUAAUAUCAAGUGCUAUCAUCUUGGAGACACAAUUGGAUCUGCAUUUCCUAUUGCAGAGUGUUGAAUAUCUGGUAGAAGUAUCCUGUUACUUCCCUGCAUAGCCAUGAGUUAUAUGUGUGAGAAUAUAUAAAUCAAUAAAAAGUUUGGUAGUGUGUGAUAAAAACUUGCAAUGAUGGUCAUAAACGUUUGUGAUUAUCUUCUAUAUUUUUUUCCCUUCUAGAUAGGUAUCUAUCUUUUACAUCCAGUGUACAUAAGUUGCACGUUUGGUUCUUUUUAAUAAAGAUUUCUUGUUUAUAGAAAGAAGGUAAAUAAUCUAUGCAAAGAACCAUUAUUUUCUGGGA